This 201-nucleotide unclassified non-coding RNA is filed under the name Hevea brasiliensis (rubber tree). Lineage: Eukaryota; Viridiplantae; Streptophyta; Magnoliopsida; Malpighiales; Euphorbiaceae. The record is from RNAcentral.
ACAAAUGUGCUCAGAAUUUCUUUUUGGCAUAAUCAUGAUAAUUACAUUUAUUUUAUUGUUUCUUGGGUGCAGCUUCUAUCAUGCAAUAUGCUAACUGAAGGUUCUUGAGGACUGUAUUAUAUCUGAACAUUCAUUCACCGUUACACAGUCGACAGAAAUACCUCUUUUGGCAAUAGAAACUUCGUAAAUGCGAUAGGUAAG